This 221-nucleotide long non-coding RNA is filed under the name Gorilla gorilla gorilla (western lowland gorilla). RNAcentral describes it as "lncRNA (ENSGGOG00000044451.1)". Lineage: Eukaryota; Metazoa; Chordata; Mammalia; Primates; Hominidae. The record is from RNAcentral.
GUCUGCGGGAAACAGUAGGCUAGCGGUGGGCGUGGACCGUCGAGGUGACUGGCGGCUGUCGGAUCUGCAGUUGUUUGCUGACCAGGCAGCCGUAGCAAGAAGGCGUGCUCUACUUCUGAUAUUAUCUGGAAGACUGUUCUAAAUGAAGCCACCAGUCAAACAAAGGCUCCAGACAGAUAUGAAAAAAGGAAACAAAGCCAGAAGUUUAACAUCAACAAGAA